AGUGAACGCUGGCGGUAGGCCUAACACAUGCAAGUCGAACGGCAGCACAGUAAGAGCUUGCUCUUACGGGUGGCGAGUGGCGGACGGGUGAGGAAUACAUCGGAAUCUACUUUUUCGUGGGGGAUAACGUAGGGAAACUUACGCUAAUACCGCAUACGACAUACGGGUGAAAGCAGGGGAUCUUCGGACCUUGCGCGACUGAAUGAGCCGAUGUCGGAUUAGCUAGUUGGCGGGGUAAAGGCCCACCAAGGCGACGAUCCGUAGCUGGUCUGAGAGGAUGAUCAGCCACACUGGAGCUGAGACACGGUCCAGACUCCUACGGGAGGCAGCAGUGGGGAAUAUUGGACAAUGGGCGCAAGCCUGAUCCAGCCAUACCGCGUGGGUGAAGAAGGCCUUCGGGUUGUAAAGCCCUUUUGUUGGGAAAGAAAAGCAGCAGGUUAAUACCCCGCUGUUCUGACGGUACCCAAAGAAUAAGCACCGGCUAACUUCGUG
RNAcentral lists this ribosomal RNA (492 nucleotides) under uncultured bacterium. RNAcentral's name for it is "partial 16S ribosomal RNA". It matches the Rfam family "Bacterial small subunit ribosomal RNA", at positions 29 to 507 of the family's 1533-position model. The record is from RNAcentral.